GACGAACGCUGGCGGCGUGCUUAACACAUGCAAGUCGAACGGAAAGGCCCUGCUUUUGUGGGGUGCUCGAGUGGCGAACGGGUGAGUAACACGUGAGUAACCUGCCCUUGACUUUGGGAUAACUUCAGGAAACUGGGGCUAAUACCGGAUAGGAGCUCCUGCUGCAUGGUGGGGGUUGGAAAGUUUCGGCGGUUGGGGAUGGACUCGCGGCUUAUCAGCUUGUUGGUGGGGUAGUGGCUUACCAAGGCUUUGACGGGUAGCCGGCCUGAGAGGGUGACCGGGCACAAUGGGACUGAGAUAGGGCCCAGACUGCUACGGGAGGCAGCAGUGGGGAAUAUUGCACAAUGGGCGGAAGCCUGAUGCAGCAACGCCGGGUGCGGGAUGACGGCCUUCGGGUUGUAAACCGCGUUAGCCUGUGACGAAGCGUGAGUGACGGUAAUGGGUAAAGAAGCACCGGCUAACUACGUG
RNAcentral lists this ribosomal RNA (468 nucleotides) under uncultured bacterium. Its description in RNAcentral is "partial 16S ribosomal RNA". It matches the Rfam family "Bacterial small subunit ribosomal RNA", at positions 28 to 507 of the family's 1533-position model. The record is from RNAcentral.